Non-coding RNA from Cordylochernes scorpioides, 73 nucleotides. The record is from the annotation of a GenBank genome assembly. NCBI's taxonomy places the organism in Eukaryota, Metazoa, Arthropoda, Arachnida, Pseudoscorpiones, Chernetidae.
GUCCAGGGGCGGGAAUCGAACCCACAACCUUCUGCUUCCCGGGCAGGUGCCAUGUCCACUAGGCUACCCUGGA